This 98-nucleotide ribosomal RNA is filed under the name uncultured bacterium. RNAcentral's name for it is "partial 16S ribosomal RNA". It matches the Rfam family "Bacterial small subunit ribosomal RNA", at positions 1386 to 1482 of the family's 1533-position model. The record is from RNAcentral.
CACACCGCCCGUCACACCAUGGGAAUUGGAUCUACCCGAAGGUGGUGCGCCAACCUGCAAAGGAGGCAGCCAACCACGGUAGGUUCAGUGACUGGGUG